This 587-nucleotide RNase P RNA is filed under the name marine eukaryotic metagenome. RNAcentral describes it as "Bacterial RNase P class A". It matches the Rfam family "Bacterial RNase P class A". Rfam says of the family: Ribonuclease P (RNase P) is a ubiquitous endoribonuclease, found in archaea, bacteria and eukarya as well as chloroplasts and mitochondria. Its best characterised activity is the generation of mature 5'-ends of tRNAs by cleaving the 5'-leader elements of precursor-tRNAs. The record is from RNAcentral.
GGAGGUUGGAUGGUCGCCUGAGCUGGUCGAUGUGGACUGAAAAUCCGCGCUUGAGAUUCAGCAGGGGAGGAAAGUCCGAACUCCGCAGGACAGGAUGCCGGCUAACGGCCGGGCGCCGUGAGGCGAUGGAAAGUGCAACAGAGAGCAGACCGCCGAUGGCCGGAGAAAGCUGAGGGCAGGUGAAUAAACAGGAUGUUUGCCCCGAUGUGCUCGUCAAAUCGGGAUGAUCCGCGUUUGCAAGCAAACACGGGCCUGUCUCCACGGACUGAAGUCCGUGGUAAGUGAACAUUUUGACCUGAUCUCAGCUUUCUCCGGCACAGGCAAGGGUGAAACGGUGGGGUAAGAGCCCACCGCAGGGAUGGUAACAGACCUGGCAGGGUAAACCCCAUCCGGAGCAAAGCCAAAUAGUCGGGGAGGUGCUGGCAACGAAGGGACCGUGAUGACCCCCUUCGCGAUGCACCACGUGGUUGUCCGCCGCGUUUGCACCCGUGGGUAGGCUGCGUCGAGCGCCGUUGAGAGACGACGCCAAGAUCGAUGACCGUCACCUUCGUGAAGAAGGAACAGAAUUCGGCUUACAGACCGCCUCG